Molecule: non-coding RNA, 2770 nt
Organism: Triticum urartu
Lineage: Eukaryota; Viridiplantae; Streptophyta; Magnoliopsida; Poales; Poaceae
Source: RefSeq, a predicted model, not a curated record
CCGGCAGCCUUUGCCCCUCUCCUCCGCUUCCCUCCCAGAUCAAAUGGAUCCCCCACCAAUCCAUCUCUCUCUCCCGCGACCCCUCUCUCUCUCCCUGGACACAUCUCCGCCGCCACAGAUGCCGGCCGAUCCCGGCAUUCUCCGGCGACUUUCGACACCACGCAGCACCGGCCCGGGCUCGCCUCGCUCCGCUGGGUCUUUUCCGCCAGCGGGAUUCGCCGCUCCCGGCCACCAGCGAUGACGUUAAGCCCUCACCAUGUCUAGGGUUUCGGGCGCCUCCACACUGGCGUGGCUCCGGCGCCUCCGGCGGAUCCUCUCCGACGCCCAUCGCGCCCCCACAGGCAUCUCCGUGUCCAGGAUGCUGCUCCUGUGCCCGCUGGCCAUGGGAUGUGCAGAGCAAGGAUUGGAUGCUUGAGGAAGGAGGGGUCGACCUUGCCUUGCUGCAGCUUGGGAUGCACCACCCAUGGAGCUUCCUCCUUUCUAUCUUCAGCUGAGUUCGCCCCCUCCUCGGCUCUUGUUCGUGGCCAUCAGAAAAUGUGUUGUAUACUGACAUAUUUCAAACUGAAAACAAUGAGUGCCAAUACAAGAUGUAUAGUAACCCCUUGUGAACUCGAUUCGUAUUGGGUAGUGAAUCGUCGUGAACCAAGGAAUUGCAGGUACAACAAUGCUUGGCAUUCAGGACGCAACGAAGCAGGAAAAAUCAAAGGUGGAUCUUGCCCAGCUGAUAAACAAGAAGGACACCGACCUAAGGGUGAUUACAGUGGGCGGAAAAGGUGCUGAUCUUGGGCAUACAUCGAUCAUCCGGGCAGUUUACGAGGAUCCAGAGAUCAAAAACAAUUUUCCGUGCCGAGCAUGGGUGAGGUUGAUGCAUCCUUUCAGUCCAGAAGACUUCAUUCAAAGUUUAGUAGAGCAGCCUCACGCAUCCGAAGGAGUUGACAUUCUGCUGGAAACAAAAAAGAUGGGGCAAGAGAUAGCUGAGGAAUUCAAUGGAUAUUUCAAUGCUAAGAAGUUCCUGAUUGUGCUUAAUGACUUAUCAACCAUUGAAGAGUGGAAUCGGGUUAAGAGGUGCUUCCCAAACAAUAAGAAAGGGAGCCUGAUAAUAGUGUCUACAAGGCAAGUUGAAGUUGCAAGCUUAUGUGCAGGACAAGAAAGCAUAGUAUUUGAGCUCAAGCAGUCGUCUGUUGAUCAGAAUAUUAAUGCUUUCUAUGAGAAGGUAACAUUCAAAGUUCUACUGCUUUCCUCUUCUGAAUUAUACAGCAAGACUCGGUUAUAGUGUGGCCUUCGAAUCAGAACUACAAUAUUGACUUUGUAGCUGCAUGGUGGGAAUCAGUUUUUGUUAUCACUGAUCCUUCCAAACUGAAGCUUAGAGAGAUCAAAAUGUUACAUGCUGAACGGCCAGGAGUGAACUACUCAAGUCGUCCGACAGUGUCCCACGCCGACCUCCGGUGGAUCUCCUCCCGGAUCAGACCUAACCCCCGCACUACUUGGGGUCCUCCCCCAUGCCAUUGCAGCCCUCAGCUACGACGCCCAUUGCCUUCUCGAGAUCAACAACCACCUGCAAGAAAACUGUUCGAUCAAUCGACCCAACAAACAGGAGCCUAGAGAAUGGGGAGAAAGAGGAGGAGAUGUGGUUGUCGGCACGGUGUUGAACCACCGACGCGGCGGAAAAAUGAGCAUGUGUUGUGCAAGAGGAGAUCCACACUGCCAGCAUGUGUCUCUUCAACCAGUAUGAUCGCGUCCUCGUGUGCCUUCGCCCGGCUGAUCCGGUCUUGCGCAUCUGGUGUACCCAAGGCCGUCCACAUGCGUUUUGAACAUUCAUUAGGUGUUUAUCGUCUAGCUGAGGAGGCUAUGAACAAUCUGAAAAAACUAGGUUUGUACCAUGAAGCACAUGCUCUAGAAAUGCUAUACAUGUUCUCCCCUAUGUUCUUUUGGUAAUCCACUUCACAACUGACUAAAUUGCACCACUGCCUGACCUGUGCUAUGUAUGAAUUUGAGGAUUUACUUGAGAAAACUUCUACUGAAGUUAAUGAUUCCCUGUCAAAUCCGCGCAUAUGUAACUGCAGCAAGAACUGCUUGUGAUGUGCAAGCUAGGAUCAGCUUGAACGUCUUAUUGAAUGCCUUCAUGGAGACAACGGUGAUACGUUCCAAGAUUGUAUUACCUUGGCCCGACUUAAGUUUGAAGAUUAUUUCUCCAACCAUGUGGACCAGCUGAAUUUUACUCUCCCUGAAGAUUCAGUGACCAGCUCUGGUGCUCCCUUUGAUCUGGUCUGCAGCAAGUACACUGCCUGAUCUUAGUUGUUGCCAGCAUCGUGGUUUGGAAAAAAGUGGUGUACGAAUGGCUUCUGAGGAUAGUUUGCACCAAGUACUUAAGGUUGUUAUGAUGCAUUCUGGAUGACUUCACUACUAAGUCCGAGAUCUGGGAACGAAACAAAUUUCAGGGCAACUAACAUGAUCAACCAGCAUCAAUGAAACUGACAUACAAUUUAUCGCCACUUGGAUUUGCAUACUAGCGACAGACAUGAUUUGUAAGGAGGAAACUAGAUGAGGACAGUUCUGGUCUGAUGCUUCAAUAGGAGAUGCCUAGGUAAUUAUGACUGGAUGUGUUUACAAGAUAUGCUUUUAAGUGCAUGAGGUUGCAACCUAUAAUGGUACACUGUAGACCUUCAUUUAUUGAAAUAGACGAGUGAAAUUUUUAUGAUUCAAAUAUUUAAUUUAGCUGUCUUUCCCAUGUGAUUUACCAAAUGUAAAUAUUAAUUGAUUUUGUUAGGAA